AGGGCUGUGGCUCAGUGGUAACAGUGCUUGCCUGGUAUGUAUGAGGCACUGGGUUCGAUUCUCAGCACUAUA
This 72-nucleotide transfer RNA is filed under the name Marmota monax (woodchuck). RNAcentral describes it as "tRNA.Thr". The stretch from base 6 to 67 matches the Rfam family "tRNA", at positions 6 to 65 of the family's 71-position model. From Rfam's summary of the family: Transfer RNA (tRNA) molecules are approximately 80 nucleotides in length. Their secondary structure includes four short double-helical elements and three loops (D, anti-codon, and T loops). Lineage: Eukaryota; Metazoa; Chordata; Mammalia; Rodentia; Sciuridae. The record is from RNAcentral.